UCAGUCGACUCCUACGGGGAGGCAGCAGUGGGGAAUAUUGCACAAUGGGGGAAACCCUGAUGCAGCCAUGCCGCGUGUGUGAAGAAGGACCUUCGGGUUGUAAAGCACUUUCAGUAGGGAGGAAGGUAGUGUAGUUAACACCUGCAUUAUUUGACGUUACCUACAGAAGAAGCACCGGCUAACUCCGUGCCAGCAGCCGCGGUAAUACGGAGGGUGCGAGCGUUAAUCGGAAUUACUGGGCGUAAAGCGCAUGCAGGCGGCCUGUUAAGUCAGAUGUGAAAGCCCGGGGCUUAACCUCGGAAUUGCAUUUGAAACUGGCAGGCUAGAGUCUUGUAGAGGGGGGUAGGAAUUUCAGGUGUAGCGGUGAAAUGCGUAGAGAUCUGAAGGAAUACCAGUGGCGAAGGCGGCCCCCCUGGACAAAGACUGACGCUCAGAUGCGAAAGCGUGGGGAGCAAACAGGAUUAGAUACCCCUGGUAG
RNAcentral lists this ribosomal RNA (478 nucleotides) under uncultured bacterium. RNAcentral describes it as "bacterial SSU rRNA". It matches the Rfam family "Bacterial small subunit ribosomal RNA", at positions 328 to 793 of the family's 1533-position model. The record is from RNAcentral.